GAGGGAUUAGCCCAAAAUAUAGAAUUGCUAAGGUGAUAAAUAUCUUUCAAAGAAUUGUGGUUAAUGCAUGUUGUUGGGGUCAAAAUCGGUUACGACGAAAUCAACGUCAGAAAAGACGUCCGAGAAAACUUUCUCUUUAUUAAAAAAAAAUGAAGUCGGGAAAGAACCAAAAAACUAUCAAAAGUCUAAGGAUCAGUUCUCGUCAAAACAAAUAAACUUGAUCAUCGAACACGGAUUCAGCUCGGCCAUUUGCUGAGCUGGACCCAACACAGAUUUAGCUCGGCCGUUCGCCUAGCUGGAACAACCGCGGAUUCAGCUCGGCCGUU
RNAcentral lists this long non-coding RNA (326 nucleotides) under Brassica napus (rape). RNAcentral's name for it is "long non-coding RNA (BNAP_LNC012201)". The record is from RNAcentral. Lineage: Eukaryota; Viridiplantae; Streptophyta; Magnoliopsida; Brassicales; Brassicaceae.